GUUUGGCAAGAGUGAUGAUUCAAUUAGAUGUGUGAAAAGGGAACUCCUUUUUGUGAACUUCAAAAUUUUUGAGGCAUAAAUUUGUCUGACUUGCCCACC
Rosa rugosa (rugosa rose) is the source of this 99-nucleotide small nucleolar RNA. RefSeq annotates it as small nucleolar RNA Z266. The transcript has a single exon. The record is from RefSeq and is a predicted model, not a curated record. NCBI's taxonomy places the organism in Eukaryota, Viridiplantae, Streptophyta, Magnoliopsida, Rosales, Rosaceae.